RNAcentral lists this microRNA precursor (76 nucleotides) under Ovis aries (sheep). Its description in RNAcentral is "miRNA (ENSOARG00000023454.1)". Lineage: Eukaryota; Metazoa; Chordata; Mammalia; Artiodactyla; Bovidae. The record is from RNAcentral.
GGCAUCUUGUUAACAUGCAGAUCCUGAGAAAGCAGGUCUGGGGUGAGGCCUGAACUUCUGCAUUUUUAACAAGCUC